AAGCGUAACCUAAACCCCCCCCAAAAUACCAUUAAUUUUCAUGAACCCCUAAUUUAUAAUGAAUGACUCCAUAUUUAUAUGGAAGACACCAUGCUAGGAUUAGUAACAAGAAUUUAUAAUUCUCCAAAAUGCAAAUAUAAACCAACAUGGAUAGACCAUUGGUAGUUACCGAACCUAAAUUUACUGCAAUAACACCCACAAGAAAACUCUGCAGUACUUACUCGUUAACCUAACACCAGCGCAUUACAGGAAAGAUUAAAAAAAAGAGAAGGAAUUCGGCAAAUGACGGCCCCGCCUGUUUACCAAAAACAUCGCCUCUUGACUUAUAAUAAGAGGUCCAGCCUGCCCAGUGAAUUUUAAACGGCCGCGGUAUCCUAACCGCGCGAAGGUAGCAUAAUCACUUGUUCUUUAAAUGGGGACUCGUAUCAACGGCAUCACGAGGGUUUUACUGUCUCCUCUUUUUGAUCAGUGAAAUUGAUCUUCCCGUGAAGAAGCGGGGAUAUUUUUAUAAGACGAGAAGACCCCAUGGAGCUUUAAACCAAAUAACAACUUAACUACUUAUCCCACAAUAAAUUUAAGCCCUGUUAUAAGGUUUUUGGUUGGGGUGACCGCGGAGUAAAGCACAUCCUCCACGACGGAAAGAACAUAAUCUUUAUUUAAGAACCACACUUCUAGAAAUUAGUAUACUAACGUUUACUGACCCGACAAUCGAUCAACGGACCAAGUUACCCUGGGGAUAACAGCGCAAUCUACUUCAAGAGCUCAUAUCGACAAGUAGGCUUACGACCUCGAUGUUGGAUCAGGGUAUCCCGGUGGUGCAGCCGCUACCGAAGGUCGUUUGUUCAACGAUUAAAACCCUACGUGA
Molecule: ribosomal RNA, 865 nt
Filed under: Polypedates leucomystax (Java whipping frog)
Lineage: Eukaryota; Metazoa; Chordata; Amphibia; Anura; Rhacophoridae
Description: partial 16S ribosomal RNA
Rfam family: Bacterial large subunit ribosomal RNA
Source: RNAcentral